RNAcentral lists this small nucleolar RNA (81 nucleotides) under Triticum aestivum (bread wheat). RNAcentral describes it as "Small nucleolar RNA U54". It matches the Rfam family "Small nucleolar RNA U54". From Rfam's summary of the family: U54 is a C/D box small nucleolar RNA, which acts as a methylation guide for 18S ribosomal RNA in plants. Lineage: Eukaryota; Viridiplantae; Streptophyta; Magnoliopsida; Poales; Poaceae. The record is from Rfam by way of RNAcentral. RNAcentral also lists the same sequence under 1 other name.
GGGUUUGUGAUAUGCCAUUUAGAUUCAUGGCGAUAUACACUAUUCUGAGUCUUUAGGAUGUCGUCAAAUGUUAUGAAAUCA